Molecule: ribosomal RNA, 253 nt
Filed under: uncultured bacterium
Lineage: Bacteria
Description: partial 16S ribosomal RNA
Rfam family: Bacterial small subunit ribosomal RNA
Source: RNAcentral
UACGAAGGGGGCUAGCGUUGUUCGGAAUUACUGGGCGGAAAGGGCGCGCAGGCGGUUCCUCAAGUCAGGCGUGAAAGCCCCGGGCUCAACCUGGGAAUGGCGAUGGAUACUGGCGGGCUAGAGUGCGGUAGAGGGUGGUGGAAUUCCCGGUGUAGCAGUGAAAUGCGUAGAGAUCGGGAGGAACAUCAGUUGCGAAGGCGGCCACCUGGACCAGCACUGACACUGAGGCACGAAAGCGUGGGGAGCAAACAGG